GACGAACGCUGGCGGCGUGCUUAACACAUGCAAGUCGAACGGAAAGGCCCUGCUUUUGUGGGGUGCUCGAGUGGCGAACGGGUGAGUAACACGUGAGUAACCUGCCCUUGACUUUGGGAUAACUUCAGGAAACUGGGGCUAAUACCGGAUAGGAGCUCCUGCUGCAUGGUGGGGGUUGGAAAGUUUCGGCGGUUGGGGAUGGACUCGCGGCUUAUCAGCUUGUUGGUGGGGUAGUGGCUUACCAAGGCUUUGACGGGUAGCCGGCCUGAGAGGGUGACCGGCCACAUUGGGACUGCGAUACGGCCCAGACUCCUACGGGAGGCAGCAGUGGGGAAUAUUGCACGAUGGGCGGAAGCCUGAUGCAGCAACGCCGCGUGCGGGAUGACGGCCUUCGGGUUGUAAACCGCUUUCGCCUGUGACGAAGCGUGAGUGACGGUAAUGGGUAAAGAAGCACCGGCUAACUACGUG
RNAcentral lists this ribosomal RNA (468 nucleotides) under uncultured bacterium. Its description in RNAcentral is "partial 16S ribosomal RNA". It matches the Rfam family "Bacterial small subunit ribosomal RNA", at positions 28 to 507 of the family's 1533-position model. The record is from RNAcentral.